This 414-nucleotide ribosomal RNA is filed under the name uncultured fungus. RNAcentral's name for it is "eukaryotic LSU rRNA". The record is from RNAcentral. Lineage: Eukaryota; Fungi.
AGAGUUAAACAGUACGUGAAAUUGUUGAAAGGGAAACGAUUGAAGUCAGUCGUACCAACGGGAAAUCAAUUCAUCGAGUGUUAAAUUUGGGUUUCGAAGAGUGUUAAAACCUUUGGGUUCAGAUAUUUUCACUUUUUGAACGUAUUUUCUCGUACGGUAGGUUAACAUCGAUUUUGAACAUUAUAAAAUGAUCGGAGGAAUGUAGCUUCGAUCUCGUAUUGAAGUGUUAUAGCCUUUGGUAAAUGUAACGGAUGGGAUCGAGGAUUGCAAUGAAUACCCUCAUGGGCUAUUCGUCUGGCCUCUGACAUGUCACUCUGGUGCCGAAAGCUUGCUUAUGAUGUUAGGGUAUUACGGUCAAAAGGUUAGAACGGAUUAAAUUCGUUAAGGAUGUUGACGUAAUGACUUUAAACGACC